UUGUAUUUCGCUUCACACGGCUGAGCCGGACCGAGACGGGCUAGGGUUUUUCGCCGAAACCAACACCCUUUUUGCCGCCGCACCACUCCCGCCUCCCCCACCGACCCCUCGCCGCCGCCGGGAAUGGAUUCCAGCGCCGAGAGGCUCCGUGGACUCCGCAUCACUUCACUGGAUGAGCAUGAUGACGAGACCGAGGUGCCGCACCAGCCCCCGUCCGUCGCCGCCGCCGCCGCGGCGGAUGAUGAUGACGAGGAGGAGGAGGAAGAGGCGGAAGUGACGCUUGGUUUCCUGGAGAAGCCGAAGGGCCCCGGCCUCCUCCUGCGCCACCUGUUCCCCAGCAAGGCCGGCGGUAUCCCGGCGUGGUUGGACCCCGUAAACCUGCCGUCGGGGAAAUCCAACUGCUGCGGUUUCUGCGGCGAGCCUCUGCAGUUCGUCCUCCAGAUUUAUGCACCGAUUGAGGACAAUGCUGCAGCGUUUCACCGCACGCUGUUUGUGUUCGUGUGCCCAUCAAUGUCGUGCUUGCUCCGAGAUCAGCAUGAACAGUGGAAGCACAAGCACGGGAAUCCAUGCAGAAGCGUGAAGGUUUUCCGGUGCCAGUUGCCACGGACUAAUGCCUUUUACUCGACUGAACCUCCGAAGCGUAACGGCUCUGACAAGCCACUCUGUCAAGGAGCUCCUGUAUGUCACUGGUGUGGUACCUGGAAAGGCGCUAAAAUAUGUAGUAGCUGCAAGAAAGCAAGAUACUGUUCUGAGAAGCAUCAGGCACUGCAUUGGCGCACUGGUCAUAAGAAUGAUUGCCUCCAGAUAAUCGGUUCUUCUGAUGCUUCAAAUUAUGUUCUGCCUGAUGUAGGAAAAGUUCCUGCUAGCACUUUUUGGCCAGAAUUUGAGUUAGAAAUUGACUAUGAAGGUACUUUUGAUUCCGAUAGCUGUGAUGAAAAUAACUCUAAGUCCUUGGUGAUGCAAAGACACGGCAAACCAGAUGCUAUGAUGCAGUCAUGGAUGGAUCAAUUUGAGGCUGAUGCUGACAACAAAUGCUGGGCAUCUUUUCAAGAGCGGAUCUCAAGAGCACCAGAGCAAGUGUUGAGGUAUUGUCGAGAACCAAAUGCAAAACCUCUGUGGGCGUUAUCGGCUGGGUGUCCAUCAAAUGCUGAUAUCCCAUCAUGUAGCUAUUGUAAAGGUCCAUUAUGCUAUGAAUUUCAGGUAAUGCCACAAUUGCUUUAUUACUUUGGUGUGGGAAACAAACCAGACUCACUUGACUGGGCAACUAUUGUUGUGUACACAUGCCGAGGGUCAUGCGAUCAAAGUGUUAGCUACAAAGAGGAAUUUGCUUGGGUUCAGUUGUACCCUACAACAAUCACGAGGCCAUAAUAACAUUUACCUAUUCCUCGGAGUAACCGCUGUCCUAUGCUGCAGGUGAUCUUGGUUAGUCCCUACACCCUACUCCCUUGGACUGGGAGAAAUGUUGGCUAGGGAGUUUGACAGGGAUCAUCUGUGCACUCCGACGUGAAGACUGGUGCUCCAAGCAACUCCUUUUGGGACUGGAGAUUUUGAUAAGAUUUUGAAAUGGGCAGUGAAUUCAAUGUUUCCAGGUCAAUUGAUCGUGCAGUGUUGAACAUCUUUCGACCUGGGACUACUUGGUGCUGUUACAUUGGCUUUGGUCCAUUUAGGCACUAGGGCCCAUAUAGAGAUGUGAUGGCAAAUAGUUCCAUACUCGCAUUUCUUUGUGGUCACCACCAUGUGCGGUUUAAUGCUUCUUCAUCUUGUUUAAUAUCUUUGAGUUGAUCCUUGGUUUGUUCUGGAUUUUUUUUCCUUCAGAUGGGUGAAACCCAAUGUUUCUGUUGCUUAGUCUCAAAAGGUCCUUACAUACAUUAUAUUUUUCCGACGAUGUCCUUAUUAUCGGCUGAAUUUUUUAUUGUGUUUGUUU
Phragmites australis (common reed) is the source of this 1924-nucleotide RNA transcript. RefSeq lists it as uncharacterized. The record is from RefSeq and is a predicted model, not a curated record. The transcript has 12 exons. NCBI's taxonomy places the organism in Eukaryota, Viridiplantae, Streptophyta, Magnoliopsida, Poales, Poaceae.